AAAUCACAUCAUUCAUCUGAUCCGGGCUAUAUCUCUCCCAGCAAGAUAUGUAUGAAGAACGGAAAAGAAAUGAUUAGAAACAUUAAAAUAGAAAAGAAAAAUUGGAUGAUUUUGAGAAAGGAAUCAGAAGAUUUGUACAACCCACAGGGAGGGAGUUAUUCCUUCUCCCAACUUCCUGCUGUUGGAGUGGAGGCAUGUGACCUUGGCUGGCUGAUUAAACGCUCCAGCCUGGGUUUUGAAUAUGGAAGAACGUGCUGAGGUUGUGAGCUGAAAAGCAAAUGUGAAGACUCUGUGCUUUGCCAAACUGCAGCAUCAUGCAGACUAUCAUCAUGGAAUUGCCUUAUAACUAGAAGAGGAAUGGACAUCGCCUCAGAAGCUGAAGAGGAUGCUGGACUGUGAACAGGAUGCAGAGGCUUAUGAACCUUUAUCAUCCUCUCCUUGGGAAGAAAGUUCCAAGUUCUUCGCAGAUUUAAUGCAAGUUAGAUUCUUCAAACUCUAGAGGCAUCAACAUGAAUUGGAAAAGUAUAGACAACCUUCAUAAUGGGAUGACGUCUAUUGAAUCUCAGCACACAGUGUGGGCCCAGCAGUUGAAGACAAGCCAAGCCCCAAGGAGGAGGGCAAGCAAUCCCAGAAGCCACUGGGCAUGGGAGGGGCAAGGUUUUCUCAACAUGGCCUCACAGGGGUUACAGCUAUGAAAGCAGAUGUUCGAGACCAUGAGUAUCUCAGAUCAUUCUUUGGAAAAAAUAAAUUUUUCUUCCAGUGAUGUUGAGGGCGAGGAUGAAAGAAAUGAGAAAUUAUUUUUCUGGAGGCCGGAAGUCCCAGAUCAAGAUGGUGGCAGGGUUGGUUUCUCCGGUUGCUUCUCUCCUUGGCUUGAAGAUGGCUGCUUUCUUGCUGUGCCUUUAGCUCAGUUCACUGAGGAAAUGGAUUUGGAAACAGAAAAUAAGAAUACAAAUUGAAAACCUCUUUGAGGUGAUUUUCAUUAUGAUGACUCUUUCAGCAAUGAUGGAACAGAGGCCUAGAGAAGCAACACUGCAUGACCUUUGCUUUGUCUGGCUGUCUCUUCCUCACAUUUUGUCCUUCGGUGUAAGAGACGUCUCUUGGUUUCCUCAGACGUGAAUCUGUGUGCUGUUUUUUGUUCUCCUGGAUAUCUGGCCAACGUCAUCUCUUCCAUCUUGCUUUGAUGGACAUUGGAUUGUUC
This 1198-nucleotide long non-coding RNA is filed under the name Equus caballus (horse). RNAcentral's name for it is "lncRNA (ENSECAG00000049223.1)". Lineage: Eukaryota; Metazoa; Chordata; Mammalia; Perissodactyla; Equidae. The record is from RNAcentral.